UGCUGCUCCUGGACCCCAGGGGUCCUCCCGUGUCCCCAAGUCACAGCCGUGUCAGCUGACAGCCACGCGAUGAAGGCAGCUUGUGUUUGGUGAGACAGACUCAGGAGAGCAGCAGACCCAGGGGCCAUGUUUCCAUGCCUGCACUCAUCACAGACGCAUAUCAACACCGAGGAGAGUGGAGUUUCAUUUCAUAGACAAGGCAAUGGGGUUUGAACCCGUUCUGAACACCAGGUGACGCUGUUGCCAGUUCCAUGAAUGUUCAUUCUCAAUAAAAAGCCUUGGG
Molecule: long non-coding RNA, 283 nt
Organism: Eptesicus fuscus (big brown bat)
Lineage: Eukaryota; Metazoa; Chordata; Mammalia; Chiroptera; Vespertilionidae
Exons: 3
Source: RefSeq, a predicted model, not a curated record